GACGAACGCUGGCGGCGCGCUUAAUACAUGCAAGUCGAACGAGAAGCCAGAGCUUGCUCUGGUGGAAAGUGGCGAACGGGUGAGUAACACGUGAGAAACCUGCCCCAAAGAUUGGGAUAAGCCUUGGAAACGAGGUCUAAUACCAAAUACCUUCCUUUUAACACAUGUUAAAAAGAAGAAAUGCUCCGGCGCUUUGGGAUGGUCUCGCGAUCUAUCAGCUUGUUGGUGAGGUAACGGCUCACCAAGGCAUCGACGGAUAGCUGGUCUGAGAGGAUGUCCAGCCACAUUGGAGCUGAGACACGGUCCAAACUCCUACGGGAGGCAGCAGUAGGGAAUCUUGCACAAUGAGGGAAACCUUGAUGCAGCGACGCCGCGUGCGGGACGAAGGCCCUAGGGUUGUAAACCGCUUUCAGUAGGGACGAAAGUGACGGUACCUACAGAAGAAGCCCCGGCCAACUAUGUGCCAGCAGCCGCGGUAAU
Molecule: ribosomal RNA, 480 nt
Filed under: uncultured bacterium
Lineage: Bacteria
Description: bacterial SSU rRNA
Rfam family: Bacterial small subunit ribosomal RNA
Source: RNAcentral